GACGAACGCUGGCGGCGUGCUUAACACAUGCAAGUCGAACGGAAAGGCCCUGCUUUUGUGGUGUUCUCGAGUGGCGAACGGGUGAGUAACACGUGAGUAACCUGCCCUUGACUUUGGGAUAACUUCAGGAAACUGGGGCUAAUACCGGAUAGGAGCUCCUGCUGCAUGGUGGGGGUUGGAAAGUUUCGGCGGUUGGGGAUGGACUCGCGGCUUAUCAGCUUGUUGGUGGGGUAGUGGCUUACCAAGGCUUUGACGGGUAGCCGGCCUGAGAGGGUGACCGGCCACAAUGGGACUGAGAGACGGCCCAGACGCCUACGGGAGGCAGCAGGGGGGAAUAUUGCACAAUGGGCGGAAGCCGGAUGAAGCAACGCCGCGUGCGGGAUGACGGCCUUCGGGUUGUAAACAGCUGUAGCCUGUGACGAAGCGUGAGUGACGGUAAUGGGUAAAGAAGCACCGGCUAACUACGUG
This 468-nucleotide ribosomal RNA is filed under the name uncultured bacterium. RNAcentral's name for it is "partial 16S ribosomal RNA". It matches the Rfam family "Bacterial small subunit ribosomal RNA", at positions 28 to 507 of the family's 1533-position model. The record is from RNAcentral.